This 416-nucleotide long non-coding RNA is filed under the name Olea europaea (common olive). RNAcentral describes it as "long non-coding RNA (OEUR_LNC003283)". The record is from RNAcentral. Lineage: Eukaryota; Viridiplantae; Streptophyta; Magnoliopsida; Lamiales; Oleaceae.
GGCACUGGGCACUGAUGCACCAUUGUUCAACAUGAAUUCUGGACGUUUACAGGCAUCACUGGACAGAAUCGAGGCCAUUUUUACAAAUUAUGACACAACAAAACUGAUCCCUGAUACAGCUACCAGCUAGUAUCAGUUUUUUAUCCCAGUAAUGUUUUUACCUGAUGUAGGUUCGCUAUAUGUUUUAAAUCUUACUCUUUAUACUCAAUGGUUUACUUGUUCUGUUUUUUAUGUCGUUAUGUUAUGGCUGAGCGGGAUAUUGUUCCUUUUUGCCAGCAAUUCACUCCCAACCAGACUAAAAAAAAUGGGGAUCCAAUUGGAGGUGGUGGCAUAAAGAUUGUAAUCUAAGUUGGUUUCGAACAUUCUCUCUGUAUUUGUUUUUCGUAUCAACAAAGAGUUUGUAAGUGCUUGUCAAA